CGCACGCCUCUCUUUUUCUUCUUCCUUUUCUUUUUCUCUCUUCCUUCUCCUUUCUCCUUCCUCUACGUCGCACAGCCCUUCGUCACCAUGAAACCCAGCCGACGCCCUCUCCAUUUCUUUCUUUCUUCCUUCUCACUUCUCCCUUUCCCUUCCUUUCUUUCCCUUUUCCUUCCUCCAUUUCUCCCCUGUCACUCGCACCGUGACACACUGAGAGACAGAGAUCAAGUGAGAGUUCGUGAGGGAGAUGGAGAGGCUGUGAUGCAGAGAACCGUGAGUGUGGAAGCGGAUCCUUGGCCGUGGGAGUUACGAUUUUGGAGCUGGGUGGUCGGGCCACCGUUGUGGCGUGGAGGCAGCAUCUAAGGCAGUGAGUUUCGGCCCUGUUCCGGGUCGUGUCAUAAUUGGAGACGUCAAUGGGUUCUUCAAUGUUGAGUUCGAAUUAUGAGUCCAAUGCAGCCAGGUUCAAUGGAUCUAAUGAAUGAUGUCGUAGCAUAGUACUUGGAAUGUUACGACUAAAGCCCGACGUGACAGUUAUAAUGGUUGGACCAUGUGUUGUCCGCCUUUUGGUAGACUUUGUUUAUGGCUCGUGUCGCCUGUGACACUUGUAUUUAUGAGCCAGUCUUUUAGUAUGUAUUUAAUAGCUAUGUAGAAGCUUUAAACAGAUAGACAUAUUAAUGGCUCUUUUGUUGUAAUUAACUGUUGUUUAUAGAUGUACCUUCCGCUA
Molecule: long non-coding RNA, 721 nt
Organism: Alnus glutinosa
Lineage: Eukaryota; Viridiplantae; Streptophyta; Magnoliopsida; Fagales; Betulaceae
Exons: 3
Source: RefSeq, a predicted model, not a curated record